RNAcentral lists this ribosomal RNA (1017 nucleotides) under Klebsiella oxytoca. Its description in RNAcentral is "partial 23S ribosomal RNA". It matches the Rfam family "Bacterial large subunit ribosomal RNA", at positions 1783 to 2798 of the family's 2925-position model. Lineage: Bacteria; Pseudomonadati; Pseudomonadota; Gammaproteobacteria; Enterobacterales; Enterobacteriaceae. The record is from RNAcentral.
UACCAGCUGGCUGCAACUGUUUAUUAAAAACACAGCACUGUGCAAACACGAAAGUGGACGUAUACGGUGUGACGCCUGCCCGGUGCCGGAAGGUUAAUUGAUGGGGUUAUCCUCACGGAGAAGCUCUUGAUCGAAGCCCCGGUAAACGGCGGCCGUAACUAUAACGGUCCUAAGGUAGCGAAAUUCCUUGUCGGGUAAGUUCCGACCUGCACGAAUGGCGUAAUGAUGGCCAGGCUGUCUCCACCCGAGACUCAGUGAAAUUGAACUCGCUGUGAAGAUGCAGUGUACCCGCGGCAAGACGGAAAGACCCCGUGAACCUUUACUAUAGCUUGACACUGAACACUGGUCCUUGAUGUGUAGGAUAGGUGGGAGGCUUUGAAGUGUGGACGCCAGUCUGCAUGGAGCCAUCCUUGAAAUACCACCCUUUAAUGGCUGGUGUUCUAACGUGGGCCCGUGAUCCGGGUUGCGGACAGUGUCUGGUGGGUAGUUUGACUGGGGCGGUCUCCUCCUAAAGAGUAACGGAGGAGCACGAAGGUCAGCUAAUCCUGGUCGGACAUCAGGAGGUUAGUGCAAUGGCAUAAGCUGGCUUGACUGCGAGCGUGACGGCGCGAGCAGGUGCGAAAGCAGGUCAUAGUGAUCCGGUGGUUCUGAAUGGAAGGGCCAUCGCUCAACGGAUAAAAGGUACUCCGGGGAUAACAGGCUGAUACCGCCCAAGAGUUCAUAUCGACGGCGGUGUUUGGCACCUCGAUGUCGGCUCAUCACAUCCUGGGGCUGAAGUAGGUCCCAAGGGUAUGGCUGUUCGCCAUUUAAAGUGGUACGCGAGCUGGGUUUAGAACGUCGUGAGACAGUUCGGUCCCUAUCUGCCGUGGGCGCUGGAGAAUUGAGGGGGGCUGCUCCUAGUACGAGAGGACCGGAGUGGACGCAUCACUGGUGUUCGGGUUGUCAUGCCAAUGGCAUUGCCCGGUAGCUAAAUGCGGAAGAGAUAAGUGCUGAAAGCAUCUAAGCACGAAACUUGCC